This is a long non-coding RNA of Nicotiana attenuata, 916 nucleotides long. RefSeq lists it as uncharacterized. The record is from RefSeq and is a predicted model, not a curated record. Lineage: Eukaryota; Viridiplantae; Streptophyta; Magnoliopsida; Solanales; Solanaceae. The transcript is spliced from 4 exons.
UGCAAGCUACGCCAAAGUUUUUAUAUGAAAAUAAAAUUUGACAACUCUCCCCUCUCUUUGUAUGAUCUCCUGCUCCCAUUACUACAACUAUAUCAUGUUGAUAGCUCCCUUUUAUCAUCUUCUCAUCAAAGUUUUUACACAUACUUCAUUUCUCAGUAUAUAUUAAAACUAGAUAUGUCAACAACUUCAACAAUCACAACCACCACAAAAACCCCCACCAUACCAUACCACUGCUUCUAGCCCAAGUUAAAGUUAUACUCAAUAUUCAUCUCAAUAAUAAUAGUAACACAAUAGUUCCACUAAUCAAUAUCUCAUGAGUACCAUUUCCUUUGGUUCAACAAAGGCUUUGAAUUUUUUCUAGCUCAUGGCAAACCAACAAGAUUUGGCAGUUCAUUUUCCACCCCAGAUUAUUAGAAAGAAGAAAACUGGUGGACAACAAAAGAAAGAGGAACUUGAAAAAGAGGUUGCUGAGCUUAGGAAAAUGUUGAAUCAUGAACAAAAAGUGCAUGAAUUUCUGGAGAAGGUGUAUCAGCGAAAGGAUGGUUCAUCUUUCAGUAUUCCAAAUUAUCUUCCUCUAAGAUGAAGGAGCUGUUUGCAGAACUAGCCAUGGUUGAAAAUGAAAUAGCUAAGUUGGAAAGCCAAAUCAGCCAGCUACAAUAUGAUGUGAAUAAGGAGAAGGAAAUCAACAUUACUGAAAAAGCUAAGUCCAAACAAUUUGGACCAAAGCUGAAACAAUCUCAACAACAAGGAAUUAUCAACCGUCCUCAUAAUAUAUCUUCAUCACUUCCACCAAAUCCAAACAAAUUCAAAGGGCUAAAUGAUCAAAAGUUGCCAUUUGAGACUAAGGGUGUGUUUGGUAUAACGGAAAAUGUUUUCCGUGGAAAAUAUUUUCCAAGAAAAUGUUUUUUUGGAAAAC